GCAGCCGCCGCGGGAAUACCGAGGGUGCGAGCGUUAAUCGGAUUUACUGGGCGCAAAGCGUGCGUAGGCGGCUUUUUAAGUCGGAUGUGAAAUCCCCGAGCUUAACUUGGGAAUUGCAUUCGAUACUGGUUAGCUAGAGUGUGGGAGAGGAUGGUAGAAUUCCAGGUGUAGCGGUGAAAUGCGUAGAGAUCUGGAGGAAUACCGAUGGCGAAGGCAGCCAUCUGGCCUAACACUGACGCUGAGGUACGAAAGCAUGGGGAGCAAACAGGAUUAGAUACCCCAGUAGUCCCUGUCUCUUAUAC
This 302-nucleotide ribosomal RNA is filed under the name uncultured bacterium. RNAcentral's name for it is "partial 16S ribosomal RNA". It matches the Rfam family "Bacterial small subunit ribosomal RNA", at positions 508 to 807 of the family's 1533-position model. The record is from RNAcentral.